Molecule: long non-coding RNA, 3408 nt
Organism: Macaca nemestrina (pig-tailed macaque)
Lineage: Eukaryota; Metazoa; Chordata; Mammalia; Primates; Cercopithecidae
Source: Ensembl
AUGCAGGUGAGCUAGGGACUCAGAGGGGUGGGGCAUUACUCCUAGUUGGUUAUUAAUUAAACGGGACUAUAUCCGAGACUAGGUGUUAGUUAAUGGAGAACUAAGGAGUCCUGUGAACCCUGUGAGGUGGCUACUGAGAUCCCAGCCUGGCAGAGCAGGCUGAUGGAGCAGUGAGGGCACCAGCGAUAAUGUUCUGUGAUUCUCUAUUGCACUCAGGACCUGCAGAGACACACUCAGCCUCUCCACUUGAGCUCCACUGGCUCCCAUGGUGCACUUUGGCUCUACCAGGCAUGCUCUUGCCUUAAGACAUUUGUGCUCACUGUCCUCUCUACCUGGAUCCCUCUUACCCUAGAGAGCCUUCUGACAGGUUUCACUCUCUCAUUUCUUCACAUCUUUGCUCUAAAGUAACUUCAUCUUCAUGAACUUUUCCCUGACCACCCUACUAUAAAUUGCAACCCUCCCCACUCUUCAUGCUAAUAUAGUCUUACUAUGGUGGCCAUUGCCGUCUACCUUCCUACGUAACUUACUAAUGAGAAGGUAAGUGUCACUGGGGCAGAGAUUUGCUUUAUAUGUGCUCUGGUGUAUCCAAGUGGUGGCACCUAGUGGGCACUCAUUGUGGCCUUUGUCUUUCUUCACUCCACAGGACACCAUUGGCACUGCAUUCCCCAUUGAAUGAUGCCCCCGGGAACACAGCUUUACAGACUUCAAUGUGAAUACUGCCCCCUAGAAUUGUGCAAUUUGGCAGUACAGAGCCUAAUAUUUGUUGAAAAGAGGCCACAGGCGAUCCACUCUCUCUGUUCAUCUUCCUGAUCCAGUGGCCUCUGAAAUCCUUCUGGCGACUUCUAAUUGUAAACCUUCUCAUACUUGAAACCUUCCCUGUGUCAGGAUGAGGAAGCUGGUAUGAUGAGUGGGCUGAUUCCGUCUGUUUGCAGUUUAUUAUCAAACUUGGACAUCUUAUUUCAGAGAGAUACAAGAAAGGCACUCGAUAAGCUGUCUGCAGCAGUUUCUCCUGAGGGGUCUGCCAAAAACGGCGUGGGAUUUCAGGGUCUGGUUUUCUUUGCCUUCUCCAGGUCUGUUACAUUUCCCAGAAUGGUUCCCAGUGCUGGAGAUAAUUCCUUUUCGGAGAACCUACAUUUCUCACCUGCUGAUUGCAAUUAGCCACUACCAGCUGGGGCCUGGUGUGCAGCUGAAAAGCUAACAAGAAGUGGAGACCACGCGGAACCCAGACAGGGCAUAGGAUGUGCAUAAAUAAGCAACGGUGCCUGUGUUUAUGAGAUGCUCCUGUGAAUUCAAGGCUUCCCCACCCUCUGCAUAACUCUCCCUCUUCUGGCUUUGUGCUGCACACCCCUACCCUAACUAUAUUUUUUGUCUCUGGUUUCGUAGCCUACACUUAACAUCACAGUCACGAAUUUACCACUAAGUACAUUUUGUUAGGCAAUAAACAGCCUUGGAAGAAAAAUGAAAUCCGACUAGGACUUCUGUUCUAAUAAUGUUUGUGAGCUGUGGUGGAUUCAGGCAGGCCCCACAUGCAGGUCUUAGAGCUAACCUUGGCUGUGGGGGCUGGCGGGGCUGGGAGAGGGCUCAGGGACCCCCAACUCAACUCCCUUAUUUUAUGAGGGAGGAUACUGAAUCCCAGAAUGGGAGCAUGGCCUGUCCAAAGUCUUAAAAGGAAGUCACAGGACUGGAUGAAGCCCAUGUCUCCCGACCCCCAGCUUAGGGCUUUAAACACUGCUUUGCUUUCAAACAUCACGGGCAGCAGAUUGGUAGUUUGUGAGGAAAGCACCAAGGAGACUCCUGAGUGCUAGAAGGCAGUUUCUGUUGAACAAUGUGGUCUCCAACCCUAGGCAAUCUUUCUUUCCUUCCUCACGGACCAGGCAUGUCCCCUGUGCCAACGUUGCACCCUUUUCAUUCAGAGUUGAUACCCAUGUUUCCGUAGCUCACAGCUGCUGAACCCAAAUCCCUACUUGCUGCCUAAGGGGAAUGCUCUCCACCUUUAGAGCUGUCUUGGGUUUGUGCUGCAGGGAACAGCAGAGAACAGACACGCAAGCCGGGGGAACUUAGCAGCUGUCCCUGCGUGGUAGCUCUGCGGUGUAAAUGCAGGGAGGCCAGCCUCGUGAGGUCUGUGGCUUCUGGUGCAAUCAUAUCUACUGGCUGGGGAUGAGCUGGAUUUUUUCCAGCCCUCUCCACUCAGAGGAUCAGCCAUUCUAUACCCAACUCAGCUUCCACCAGGAGAGGCCAUCUUGAAGGAUUUAGAGUCGGGGAGUUAGACCGGCUUCCAGGUAGCAAGCAGUAAAGAAAUGUACCGGGACUUUGGACUCCAAUUCUGGCUUUGUUCUGCGGUGGGCAUGCCUCUCGGCCUCUGAUUCCUUGUACGUAACAUGGAGACUCAUAAUGCAUAGUUCAAUGGGCUUUUCUGAGAGGGUAAGGGAAGGAGUCAAAAAUAGGUUUGCUAUAAGUGUUCACUUUACUUCCCUCUAGUACUAAUUUCUGUUUUACUGAUAAGGAAAACUGAGGCCAAGGGAAGUAGAAAUACUCUCCCAAGGCCACAGGCUUUUCUAUUGUCUCCAGCCACCUGUUAGUCUCUGUCAGGCACUCGGGGAAAAAAAAACUGCAAUGAACUUCACUAACACAAAAUCCUUUCUCCAAAAAUAAGUGGUUCUACAUGCUGGUAAAUAUUUAACAAUUAGCUGGGGGUUUGGAGGAGGAAAGGCAGGAGAAAGCUCUGCUUUGUAGGCUUGUUGAUUUUUAUUUUAAGAGAACUGUAGAUUCACAUGCUGUUGUAAGAACUGUUAAUGAGAGAUGACCUGUACCCUUCAUGCAGUUACCUCCAAUGGUAACAUCUUCAAAACUAUAAUAGUGUUACAACCAGAAUAUUGACAUGAUAUAAUCCACGAAUCUUUAUAUUUUCCCAGUUUUACUUGUACUCAUUUGUGUGUAUAUGUGUGUGUAUUUAGUUCUAUACAGUUUUAUCACAUGUGUAGGUUCCUAUGACCACUACCUGUAAAUUCAGUCAAGAUACAAAAUAAUUCCGUCACCGCAAGAACCUCUCUGUUACAAUCUUUACCUCCCUGCUGCUCUAACUCACCUUGUCAUUGAACCCUGACAACCUCUAAUCUGUCCUCCACUUAUUUAAAAAAUUUCAUCAAUUCAAAAUGUUAUAUAAAUGGAGUCACACAUAUGGAAUCUUUGGCAGUUGUUUUUUCACUCAGCAUAAUUCUGUCAAAUUUCAUCCAACGUGUGUGUAUCAAUAGUUAAUUCCCUUUUAUCGUUAAGUAAUAUUCUGUGGUAUGAAUGUGCCACAGGUUGUCUAACCAUUCACCUGCUGAGGGAUACCAAGGUUGUUUACAGAUUUUGGCUCUUGUGUAUAAAGUUACUGUGAAUAUUCAUGUAUAGGUUUUUAUGUGCACA